UACUACUUGUAGUACCAAAGGGCAAUUUGUAAAGCUUUGCAAGAUAGAGUUCCUAAAGAAAAAGCAUCAACACUAACCAUUGUAUUGAUGGUUGUAAGAGCAGGGCGAGGACCUCUUGUCAGGGCAUCAUUGCAGGCUGCUGAAGAAACUAGCCGCAAGCUUAAAAUUUACGCUGUGGAGAAAAAUCCAAAUGCAAUUGUUACACUACAU
Molecule: long non-coding RNA, 210 nt
Organism: Carya illinoinensis
Lineage: Eukaryota; Viridiplantae; Streptophyta; Magnoliopsida; Fagales; Juglandaceae
Exons: 3
Source: RefSeq, a predicted model, not a curated record